CUUAUGUGGAGGGACCACUUUGUACCUUAAUGAAGCCUGAUUGACCUCAGAGCCUUAGGUAUGAUAUCUCAGAUGAGCACAACAGGAAGAAAAGAAGAUAAAUGAUCAGCUUACACAAGAAGUGAUGAAUUCUUGAUGGCUGGCUGGCAUGCCACUGCAUGACUCCUCCCCACAGAAUACUCUGAGGACCUUAGAAAACGUCCUAGACACAGAAAAAAUGAAUUGUUGUAAAACUUACUGGCCCACAAGCCUACCUCAGCCUCCAGGAGAGGGCUUUCCCCUAGUGGAGCCCCUGACUUCCACUCAUCUGCUGCUUGGCUAUGGCCUAGAGCAACUACUUCUCAGAGUUUGACUCUCAGGUUAGUUUGGAGUGGGCCUGAAAGAGAAAAACUUAUGUUUUUGUUUUUUA
Long non-coding RNA from Mastomys coucha (southern multimammate mouse), 409 nucleotides. RefSeq lists it as uncharacterized. NCBI's taxonomy places the organism in Eukaryota, Metazoa, Chordata, Mammalia, Rodentia, Muridae. The transcript is spliced from 3 exons. The record is from RefSeq and is a predicted model, not a curated record.